GGUUGACCUCGGAUCAGGUAGGAUACAGGCUGAC
RNAcentral lists this ribosomal RNA (34 nucleotides) under Aspergillus niger. RNAcentral's name for it is "partial 28S ribosomal RNA". Lineage: Eukaryota; Fungi; Ascomycota; Eurotiomycetes; Eurotiales; Aspergillaceae. The record is from RNAcentral.